AUUGAACGCUGGCGGCAGGCCUAACACAUGCAAGUCGAGCGAGCGGCGGACGGGUGAGUAAUGCCUGGGAAACUGCCCGAUGGAGGGGGAUAACUACUGGCAACGGUAGCUUAUACCCCAUACCAUCAGCUGUUACCAGAUGGGAUUAGCUAGUAGGUGGGGUAACGGCUCAACUAGGCGACGAUCCCUAGCUGGUCUGGGAGGCUGACCAGCCACACUGGAACUGAGACACGGUCCAGACUCCUACGGGAGGCAGCAGUGGGGAAUAUUGCACAAUGGGCGCAAGCCUGAUGCAGCCAUGCCGCGUGUGUGAAGAAGGCCUUCGGGUUGUAAAGCACUUUCAGCGGGGAGGCGUUACCCGCAGAAGAAGCACCGGCUAACUCCGUGCCAGCAGCCGCGGUAAUUC
RNAcentral lists this ribosomal RNA (406 nucleotides) under uncultured bacterium. RNAcentral describes it as "partial 16S ribosomal RNA". It matches the Rfam family "Bacterial small subunit ribosomal RNA", at positions 30 to 526 of the family's 1533-position model. The record is from RNAcentral.